UUAUACAUGCAAGUCGAACGAAGUAGCAAUACUUAGUGGCAGACGGGUGAGUAACAUGUGGGUAUCUUCCCUUUGGUGAGGAAUAACACGAGGAAACUUGUGCUAAUACCUCAUAAGUCUUUACAGAGAAAGCUUUAUGCGCCGAAGGAUGAGCCCGCACUUGAUUAGUUUGUUGGUGGGGUAAUGGCCUACCAAGACUUUGAUCUAUAGCUGAUCUGAGAGGAUGAUCAGCCACAUUGGGACUGAGACACGGCCCAAACUCCUACGGGAGGCAGCAGUAGGGAAUAUUGCACAAUGGAGGAAACUCUGAUGCAGCGAUGCCGCGUGAGUGAAGAAGGCCUUUGGGUUGUAAAGCUCUUUCGUCGGGGAAGAAAAUGACUGUACCCGAAUAAGAAGGUCCGGCUAACUUCGUGCCAGCAGCCGCGGUAAUACGAAGGGACCUAGCGUAGUUCGGAAUUACUGGGCUUAAAGAGUUCGUAGGUGGUUAAAAAAGUUGGUGGUGAAAUCCCAGAGCUUAACUCUGGAACUGCCAUCAAAACUUUUUAGCUAGAGUAUGAUAGAGGAAAGCAGAAUUUCUAGUGUAGAGGUGAAAUUCGUAGAUAUUAGAAAGAAUACCAAUUGCGAAGGCAGCUUUCUGGAUCAUUACUGACGCUGAGGAACGAAAGCAUGGGUAGCGAAGAGGAUUAGAUACCCUCGUAGUCCAUGCCGUAAACGAUGUGUGUUAGACGUUGGAAAUUUAUUUUCAGUGUCGCAGCGAAAGCAUUAAACACACCGCCUGGGGAG
This 783-nucleotide ribosomal RNA is filed under the name uncultured Pelagibacteraceae bacterium. RNAcentral describes it as "bacterial SSU rRNA". It matches the Rfam family "Bacterial small subunit ribosomal RNA", at positions 49 to 880 of the family's 1533-position model. Lineage: Bacteria; Pseudomonadati; Pseudomonadota; Alphaproteobacteria; Candidatus Pelagibacterales; Candidatus Pelagibacteraceae. The record is from RNAcentral.